This 484-nucleotide ribosomal RNA is filed under the name uncultured bacterium. RNAcentral's name for it is "partial 16S ribosomal RNA". It matches the Rfam family "Bacterial small subunit ribosomal RNA", at positions 29 to 507 of the family's 1533-position model. The record is from RNAcentral.
AUUGAACGCUGGCGGCAUGCCUUACACAUGCAAGUCGAACGGCAGCGCGGGAGCAAUCCUGGCGGCGAGUGGCGAACGGGUGAGUAAUACAUCGGAACGUGCCCAAUCGUGGGGGAUAACGCAGCGAAAGCUGUGCUAAUACCGCAUACGAUCUACGGAUGAAAGCAGGGGAUCGCAAGACCUUGCGCGAAUGGAGCGGCCGAUGGCAGAUUAGGUAGUUGGUGAGGUAAAGGCUCACGAAGCCUUCGAUCUGUAGCUGGUCUGAGAGGAAGACCAGCCAGACGGGGAGUGAGGAAGGGCGCAGACUUCGACGGGAGGACGCGGUGGGGAAUUUUAGACGAGGGGGGAAUGCCUAAUACAGCCAAGCCGCGUGCAGGAUGAAGGCCUUCGGGUUGUAAACUGCUGUUGUACGGAGCGAAACGGUCUUUUCUAAUAAAGAAGGAUAAUGACGGUACCGGAAGAAUAAGCACCGGCUAACUACGUG